UCUUGGUCAUUUAGAGGAAGUAAAAGUCGUAACAAGGUUUCCGUAGGUGAACCUGCGGAAGGAUCAUUAUUGAAAUAAACCUGAUGGGUUGUUGCUGGUUCUCUAGGGAGCAUGUGCACGCCUUGUCAUCUUUAUAUCUCCACCUGUGCACCUUUUGUAGACCUUUCAGGUCUAUGUUGCUUCAUUUACCCCAAUGUAUGUUAAUAGAAUGUUGUGACUAUAUAAUAUAUACAACUUUCAGCAACGGAUCUCUUGGCUCUCGCAUCGAUGAAGAACGCAGCGAAAUGCGAUAAGUAAUGUGAAUUGCAGAAUUCAGUGAAUCAUCGAAUCUUUGAACGCACCUUGCGCUCCUUGGUAUUCCGAGGAGCAUGCCUGUUUGAGUGUCAUUAAUAUAUAUAUCAACCUUCUCUUUGUUGAGUGGUUUUGGAUGUGGGGGUUUGCUGGUCUCUUUAAAGGUUUCAGCUCCCCUGAAAUGCAUUAGCAGAACAACCUGUUCAUUGGCGUGAUAACUAUCUAUGCUAUUGAAUGUGAAGGGCAGUUCAGCUUUCUAACAGUCUUUGGACAAUUCAUCAUUAAUGUGGCCUCAAAUCAGGUAGGACUACCCGCUGAACUUAAGCAUAUCAAUAAGCGGAGGAAAAGAAACUAACAAGGAUUCCCCUAGUAACUGCGAGUGAAGCGGGAAAAGCUCAAAUUUAAAAUCUGGCGGUCUUUUGGCUGUCCGAGUUGUAAUCUAGAGAAGUGCUAUCCGCGCUGGACCGUGUAC
Molecule: ribosomal RNA, 763 nt
Filed under: Cortinarius sp. 16 RT-2012
Lineage: Eukaryota; Fungi; Basidiomycota; Agaricomycetes; Agaricales; Cortinariaceae
Description: eukaryotic LSU rRNA
Rfam family: 5.8S ribosomal RNA (bases 233-386)
Source: RNAcentral